UACGAAGGGGGCUAGCGUUGUUCGGAAUCACUGGGCGUAAAGCGCACGCAGGCGGAUCGAUAAGUCGGGGGUGAAAGCCCGGGGCUCAACCUCGGAAUUGCCUUCGAUACUGUCGGUCUCGAGUCCGGGAGAGGUGAGUGGAAUUCCUAGUGUAGAGGUGAAAUUCGUAGAUAUUAGGAAGAACACCAGUGGCGAAGGCGGCUCACUGGCCCGGUACUGACGCUCAGUUGCUAAAGCGUGGGGAGCAUACAGG
This 253-nucleotide ribosomal RNA is filed under the name uncultured bacterium. RNAcentral's name for it is "partial 16S ribosomal RNA". It matches the Rfam family "Bacterial small subunit ribosomal RNA", at positions 524 to 776 of the family's 1533-position model. The record is from RNAcentral.